GACGAACGCUGGCGGCGUGCCUAAUACAUGCAAGUCGAACGCUUCUUUCCUCCCGAGUGCUUGCACUCAAUUGGAAAGAGGAGUGGCGGACGGGUGAGUAACACGUGGGUAACCUACCCAUCAGAGGGGGAUAACACUUGGAAACAGGUGCUAAUACCGCAUAACAGUUUAUGCCGCAUGGCAUAAGAGUGAAAGGCGCUUUCGGGCGUCGCUGAUGGAUGGACCCGCGGUGCAUUAGCUAGUUGGUGAGGUAACGGCUCACCAAGGCCACGAUGCAUAGCCGACCUGAGAGGGUGAUCGGCCACACUGGGACUGAGACACGGCCCAGACUCCUACGGGAGGCAGCAGUAGGGAAUCUGCGGCAAUGGACGAAAGUCUGACCGAGCAACGCCGCGUGAGUGAAGAAGGUUUUCGGAUCGUAAAACUCUGUUGUUAGAGAAGAACAAGGACGUUAGUAACUGAACGUCCCCUGACGGUAUCUAACCAGAAAGCCACGGCUAACUACGU
Molecule: ribosomal RNA, 507 nt
Filed under: uncultured bacterium
Lineage: Bacteria
Description: partial 16S ribosomal RNA
Rfam family: Bacterial small subunit ribosomal RNA
Source: RNAcentral